This 468-nucleotide ribosomal RNA is filed under the name uncultured bacterium. RNAcentral describes it as "partial 16S ribosomal RNA". It matches the Rfam family "Bacterial small subunit ribosomal RNA", at positions 28 to 507 of the family's 1533-position model. The record is from RNAcentral.
GACGAACGCUGGCGGCGUGCUUAACACAUGCCAGUCGAACGGAAAGGCCCUGCUUUUUUGGGGUGCUCGAUUGGCGAACGGGUGAGUAACACGUGAGUAACCUGCCCUUGACUUUGGGAUAACUUCAGGAAACUGGGGCUAAUACCGGAUAGGAGCUCCUGCUGCAUGGUUGGGGUUGGAAAGUUUCGGCGGUUGGGGAUGGACUCGCGGCUUAUCAGCUUGUUGGUGGGGUAGUGGCUUACCAAGGCUUUGACGGGUAGCCGGCAUGAGAGGGUGACCGGCCACAUGGGGACUGCGAUACGGCGCAGACUCCUACGGGAGGCAGCAGUGGGGAAUCUUGCACAAUGGGAGGAAGCCUGAUGAAGCAACGCCGCGUGCGGGAUGACGGCCUUCGGGUUGUAAACCGCUUUAGCCUGUGACGAAGCGUGAGUGACGGUAAUGGGUAAAGAAGCACCGGCUAACUACGUG